RNAcentral lists this transfer RNA (73 nucleotides) under Bacteroidota bacterium. RNAcentral's name for it is "Bacteroidetes bacterium (activated sludge metagenome) tRNA-Ile". It matches the Rfam family "tRNA". Rfam says of the family: Transfer RNA (tRNA) molecules are approximately 80 nucleotides in length. Their secondary structure includes four short double-helical elements and three loops (D, anti-codon, and T loops). Further hydrogen bonds mediate the characteristic L-shaped molecular structure. tRNAs have two regions of fundamental functional importance: the anti-codon, which is responsible for specific mRNA codon recognition, and the 3' end, to which the tRNAs corresponding amino acid is attached (by aminoacyl-tRNA synthetases). tRNAs cope with the degeneracy of the genetic code in two manners: having more than one tRNA (with a specific anti-codon) for a particular amino acid; and 'wobble' base-pairing, i.e. permitting non-standard base-pairing at the 3rd anti-codon position. The record is from RNAcentral. Lineage: Bacteria; Pseudomonadati; Bacteroidota.
UGGGAUAUAGCUCAACGGUGAGAGCAGGUGCCUUAUACGCAUCAGGUUACAGGUUCAAGCCCUGUUAUCCCAA